RNAcentral lists this ribosomal RNA (499 nucleotides) under uncultured bacterium. Its description in RNAcentral is "bacterial SSU rRNA". It matches the Rfam family "Bacterial small subunit ribosomal RNA", at positions 8 to 526 of the family's 1533-position model. The record is from RNAcentral.
AGAGUUUGAUCCUGGCUCAGGACGAACGCUGGCGGCGUGCCUAACACAUGCAAGUCGAGCGAUGAAGCCCUUCGGGGUGGAUUAGCGGCGGACGGGUGAGUAACACGUGGGUAACCUGCCUCAAAGAGGGGGAUAGCCUCCCGAAAGGGAGAUUAAUACCGCAUAACAUUGGUUUUUCGCAUGAAGAACCAAUUAAAGGAGUAAUCCGCUUUGAGAUGGACCCGCGGCGCAUUAGCUAGUUGGUGAGGUAACGGCUCACCAAGGCGACGAUGCGUAGCCGACCUGAGAGGGUGAUCGGCCACAUUGGAACUGAGACACGGUCCAGACUCCUACGGGAGGCAGCAGUGGGGAGUAUUGCACAAUGGGCGAAAGCCUGAUGCAGCAACGCCGCGUGAGUGAUGAAGGCCUUCGGGUUGUAAAGCUCUGUCUUUGGGGACGAUAAUGACGGUACCCAAGGAGGAAGCCACGGCUAACUACGUGCCAGCAGCCGCGGUAAUAC